Molecule: ribosomal RNA, 128 nt
Filed under: uncultured bacterium
Lineage: Bacteria
Description: partial 16S ribosomal RNA
Rfam family: Eukaryotic small subunit ribosomal RNA
Source: RNAcentral
ACUCCUACGGGAGGCAGCAGGCGCGCAAAUUGUCCAAUCCCCAUACAUUGGGGAGACAGUGAAAAGAAAUAUCAAUGCAGGGCUUUUAGCUUUGCAAUUGGAAUGAGUUAUCCCAAAUGCCUUACAAG